UACGUAGGGUGCGAGCGUUAAUCGGAAUUACUGGGCGUAAAGCGCGCGCAGGCGGCGGGGCUGGCCCGGCGUGAAAGCCCCCGGCUCAACCGGGGAGGGUCGUCGGGGACCGCACCGCUUGAGGGCGGUAGGGGCUGGUGGAAUGCCUGGUGUAGUGGUGAAAUGCGUAGAGAUCAGGCGGAACACCCGUGGCGAAGGCGGCCAGCUGGGCCGUCCCUGACGCUGAGGCGCGAAGGCGUGGGGAGCGAACGGG
This 253-nucleotide ribosomal RNA is filed under the name uncultured bacterium. RNAcentral's name for it is "partial 16S ribosomal RNA". It matches the Rfam family "Bacterial small subunit ribosomal RNA", at positions 524 to 776 of the family's 1533-position model. The record is from RNAcentral.